Molecule: transfer RNA, 60 nt
Filed under: Alectorobius cerradoensis
Lineage: Eukaryota; Metazoa; Arthropoda; Arachnida; Ixodida; Argasidae
Description: tRNA-Leu
Source: RNAcentral
UUUGAAGUGGCAGAAAAGUGCGAGAAAUUUAAGCUUUCUAUAUGACUCGGUCCUUUAAUA